CAAAUUGGAUGCAGAUAAAAAAUUGGAGAAAGGAAAGGACAGAGUAGAUGAUGAAGAAGUUACUUUUCAACGUAUGGUCGCCAAGGUUAGCAAAUCUCGUCUGCUUCCUUUUCCGAGCCCCUAGAGUAUGGAAAGUAAAAAUAUUAUUUUUAUAGUGAACUUUGGCAUCAUCUUUCUGUAAUAAUUUAAAGAACUUUUAAUUGAUUAUGAUAUGUUCCUAAGCUUACGUUUCAUUUUCAUUUUAUGCACCAUUUGGUUGACUUGUAAGAAUUCCAAUGUGGUGAUCCUUUUACACGAUUCUGUCAUGUUGUAUGGACGACAGGAGAAAACAAAGCCGUAUGAUGGUCAGGAGGAGAUUGUGAAAGCACUGAAAGUGUUGGAGCGAGAUUCGAUAUAGCAAUCGCCAAGAGCUUCACCUCUCUCUUUUCUUCUCUCCAUUUAAUCCUCUCACAAGUUUCUAUACAAAUUAGCGUAAUCAAUUUUUUGUUGACUCUUGUUGUUUAUUUUAUUGAUGACUAUGUUUAGUAAACUGAAAUUGUAAGUUUUCUGCCCUUUGAUCGUAUAUUUCGGAGCAAAUUUCAUGAAAAGGUUGAAUCUUUCUAAAUUAUAAAAAAAAGAAAAGAAAAGGUGAGUUUUAAAUAGAUUCCUCCUUUAAAUAUGAGAUGAACUAAUUUAGAUGUUUCAAAAUAGUGUCUAGCUGACAAAUAUAAUGCAUUUAUGAAAUAUUCUAUACUAAUAAAGUUUACCCUGUUUCGAAUUUCCUCCUGCUUUAUAGAACAUGUGGAGAGAGGAGAGUUUUCUUCUUGUUUAAGUCUGUCUGGAACUUGAUUCUUGAGAGCAAUUCAAUGUCUCCUUUGGUAAGCAUUCGAGUCAGGCUUCUUAUUCGUCCACAAGUAAAUGCAUCUAUUAAUUGACUCUCUUUUUGUCAUUCUACCUAGGGUAGAGAAUGUUUUAAACACAAAAGAGAUGAUGCUCCAGAGAAAAUUAGAGUAGGUCAGCCAGGGGCGGAGCUACAUAGAGGCGAGUGAAGGCAUACGCCUCACCUCAUCUGGGAUUUCUUACAACAAUUGAAGGCAGUGCCUGCAUUGGGGUUUCUAUAGGAUUGAAUUUGCUGGAAACUUGAAGGUUGGAUGCAGCCCCCAACUCGCUAUUGUUGCACUCUUCAAAAGUUUGAACGCAGGCAGAAUGGAAGGGGAGGGAAGGGAAGAUAAGUUUUUACUUGGGCCAAUUUUUAAUGUUUUCUAAAUUGUAACUUGUAAACCUUUU
Molecule: long non-coding RNA, 1266 nt
Filed under: Olea europaea subsp. europaea
Lineage: Eukaryota; Viridiplantae; Streptophyta; Magnoliopsida; Lamiales; Oleaceae
Source: RNAcentral